This 27-nucleotide non-coding RNA is filed under the name Mus musculus (house mouse). Lineage: Eukaryota; Metazoa; Chordata; Mammalia; Rodentia; Muridae. The record is from RNAcentral.
UGCACCUCCGCUUUAUGUGCAGAGGUA